Molecule: ribosomal RNA, 1080 nt
Filed under: Campylobacter jejuni
Lineage: Bacteria; Pseudomonadati; Campylobacterota; Epsilonproteobacteria; Campylobacterales; Campylobacteraceae
Description: partial 23S ribosomal RNA
Rfam family: Bacterial large subunit ribosomal RNA
Source: RNAcentral
GUAUAGGGUGUGACGCCUGCCCGGUGCUCGAAGGUUAAUUGAUGGGGUUAGCAUUAGCGAAGCUCUUGAUCGAAGCCCGAGUAAACGGCGGCCGUAACUAUAACGGUCCUAAGGUAGCGAAAUUCCUUGUCGGUUAAAUACCGACCUGCAUGAAUGGCGUAACGAGAUGGGAGCUGUCUCAAAGAGGGAUCCAGUGAAAUUGUAGUGGAGGUGAAAAUUCCUCCUACCCGCGGCAAGACGGAAAGACCCCGUGGACCUUUACUACAGCUUGACACUGCUACUUGGAUAAGAAUGUGCAGGAUAGGUGGGAGGCUUUGAGUAUAUGACGCCAGUUGUAUAUGAGCCAUUGUUGAGAUACCACUCUUUCUUAUUUGGGUAGCUAACCAGCUUGAGUUAUCCUCAAGUGGGACAAUGUCUGGUGGGUAGUUUGACUGGGGCGGUCGCCUCCCAAAUAAUAACGGAGGCUUACAAAGGUUGGCUCAGAACGGUUGGAAAUCGUUCGUAGAGUAUAAAGGUAUAAGCCAGCUUAACUGCAAGACAUACAAGUCAAGCAGAGACGAAAGUCGGUCUUAGUGAUCCGGUGGUUCUGUGUGGAAGGGCCAUCGCUCAAAGGAUAAAAGGUACCCCGGGGAUAACAGGCUGAUCUCCCCCAAGAGCUCACAUCGACGGGGAGGUUUGGCACCUCGAUGUCGGCUCAUCGCAUCCUGGGGCUGGAGCAGGUCCCAAGGGUAUGGCUGUUCGCCAUUUAAAGCGGUACGCGAGCUGGGUUCAGAACGUCGUGAGACAGUUCGGUCCCUAUCUGCCGUGGGCGUAAGAAGAUUGAAGAGAUUUGACCCUAGUACGAGAGGACCGGGUUGAACAAACCACUGGUGUAGCUGUUGUUCUGCCAAGAGCAUCGCAGCGUAGCUAAGUUUGGAAAGGAUAAACGCUGAAAGCAUCUAAGCGUGAAGCCAACUCUAAGAUGAAUCUUCUCUAAGCUCUCUAGAAGACUACUAGUUUGAUAGGCUGGGUGUGUAAUGGAUGAAAGUCCUUUAGCUGACCAGUACUAAUAGAGCAUUUGGCUUAUCUUUAAUAAAGCAU